Molecule: long non-coding RNA, 1188 nt
Organism: Helianthus annuus (common sunflower)
Lineage: Eukaryota; Viridiplantae; Streptophyta; Magnoliopsida; Asterales; Asteraceae
Exons: 6
Source: RefSeq, a predicted model, not a curated record
AACUGACUUGGAGCUGGUGUUGUUGCAGCUACCACAAGUUAUUGAAUUGAUGAUUAUCCUGAGUAAAUUGCUUCUAAAUGGAAAUUUCGCCAUAAGUUAACGACAACGAUGAUGAUAAUUGUUGAAUUGAGGGUUUAUGGGCGGUAUUUGCGGUGGUCAAAAGAAGUCGAAUAAAGAGAAAACGGGUUAGGGCUUCUCUGGAUGUGUUCGUUUCUAAUAUGGCUUUCAAGUGUCAUGAUCAUUUUCUUUGUCCAUUCACUUGCAAUCGCAACCAGGAUGCAUGCGAGAUCUAUUCCAAAGAAUCAGGCGACUUUGGCUCUAGGUAAGAGGAUACGUUGGAACCAUUACCUCUUCACUAGGUUUUAUUCUAACUUAUCAUCAUCUGAAUAUGAUUCCAGCCUGAAUAUUGCUUUUGGCAAGGUUCGCAAACACUUUUUGUACAAACUAUAUUUUUUUGUUAAUUAGGGCUUAUGACAAGGAUGCUUCGAAAUUCAGUCGAAGAAAGGCACUCACUAAUUUUGAACCCAACUCAUGUGAUGGAAAGUUAAGUCCCGGGACCGAAAAUGAAGGUUGAAGUUGUUAGUGGUUAGACAAAGAGGUUGGCUGAGAAUGAUGUUACCAGUCUUCAAGUGAGUGAAUUAGAAAAACUGAAGAAGUAAGGAAAUGAAUAAUGUGACCUUGGCAAUGAUGCAUUGAACCUGUUUUGCUUAAAUGCCUCAUCGAAAUCUGGUUUUUUGGAACACGAUGAUUGCAAGAUGUUUAAAAUCUUAUAGAUGGAAAAAGUGACAUGAGGAAAUGCAAUACUCCAAAAACAGAUUUCAGAUGGAAAAAAAGUGAAAAUAUGAACAAAUGCGAUACUACUAAGACAAUAUCUCAGGUAUUAUAUGUGAAAGUUCAACACCGACCUGAUUUUGCGUUUUGAAUCAUUGGAUAAAAGCUUGCUGCAAAAGGAAUUUAAUUUAUUAGUUUAAGUUAAUUAGAUUUAGUUUGUAAAAUUUAAUUAAUUGAAUUAUUUUUUUUAUAGUUGAGUCAGGAAAGGAUGUUUGGACUCCAAGCUAAUGGUGUAUACUGUAUAGAUAGUUGCCGUAGCGUUUUGUUAGUUGCCGUAGCGUUUUGUUCUAAGUCUGAGUUCAGGCUAAGUGAUGUGACUAUGGAAUGUUAAUGUAACAAACACUUGGGUUUUAUUAA